UACAGAGGGGGGCAAGCGUUAUUCGGAAUUAUUGGGCGUAAAGGGCGCGUAGGCGGCCUGACAAGUGGAUGGUGAAAUCCCUCGGCUUAACCGAGGAACUGCCAUCCAGACUGUUUUGGCUUGAGACCGGGAGAGGUGAGUGGAAUUCCCAGUGUAGCGGUGAAAAUGCGUAGAUAUUGGGAGGAACACCAGUGGCGAAGGCGGCUCACUGGACCGGUACUGACGCUGAUGCGCGAAAGCGUGGGGAGCAAACGGG
This 256-nucleotide ribosomal RNA is filed under the name uncultured bacterium. RNAcentral describes it as "partial 16S ribosomal RNA". It matches the Rfam family "Bacterial small subunit ribosomal RNA", at positions 524 to 776 of the family's 1533-position model. The record is from RNAcentral.